CGGAGGGUGCAAGCGUUAUCCGGAUUUAUUGGGUUUAAAGGGUCCGUAGGCGGAUCCGUAAGUCAGUGGUGAAAUCUCACAGCUUAACUGUGAAACUGCCAUUGAUACUGCGGGUCUUGAGUAAGGUAGAAGUGGCUGGAAUAAGUAGUGUAGCGGUGAAAUGCAUAGAUAUUACUUAGAACACCAAUUGCGAAGGCAGGUCACUAUGUCUUAACUGACGCUGAUGGACGAAAGCGUGGGGAGCGAACAGGAUUAGAUACCCUGGUAGUCCACGCCGUAAACGAUGCUAACUCGUUUUUGGGCUUUCGGGUUCAGGGACUAAGCGAAAGUGAUAAGUUAGCCACCUGGGGAGUACGUUCGCAAGAAUG
Molecule: ribosomal RNA, 368 nt
Filed under: uncultured organism
Description: bacterial SSU rRNA
Rfam family: Bacterial small subunit ribosomal RNA
Source: RNAcentral